This 298-nucleotide unclassified non-coding RNA is filed under the name Hevea brasiliensis (rubber tree). The record is from RNAcentral. Lineage: Eukaryota; Viridiplantae; Streptophyta; Magnoliopsida; Malpighiales; Euphorbiaceae.
GUUGGAGUUUAUUUAUUCAGUAGAAAAUCUCUUUUCACAUCCAAAACGCCAAACAACAAUGCCAUUUCUCCCUCCCAGUACACUUGAGUAUUAGAGUGUAAUGAUUGGAAAAGCUAUUGGCUUCUUAAAUCAAAAACUUCCUAAUUGUAAACUAACCAUUCUGUACUAAAUCAAUUCUAGGCAAAACAUUACAUCCUGACCCAAAAAAAAGGACUUUCACUGGAUCCGGUAAGAGUUAAACCGAUAAAACAAACAAGAAUCAGUUUUACCUGUAAUUAUACUGACAGACAGAAAACAA